Molecule: ribosomal RNA, 1341 nt
Filed under: metagenome
Description: bacterial SSU rRNA
Rfam family: Bacterial small subunit ribosomal RNA
Source: RNAcentral
CUGCCUAUCGGUACGGAAUAACUCUGGGAAACCGGAGAUAAUACCGCAUAUACCCUCAGGGGGAAAGUUUUUUCGCCGAUAGAUGAGCCCGCGUCCGAUUAGGUAGUUGGUGGGGUAAAGGCCUACCAAGCCUAUGAUCGGUAGCUGAUCUGAGAGGAUGAUCAGCCACACUGGAAUUGAGAUAAGGUCCAGACUCCUACGGGAGGCAGCAGUGGGGAAUAUUGAACAAUGGGCGAAAGCCUGAUUCAGCAAUGCCGCGUGAGUGAAGAAGGCCUUAGGGUUGUAAAGCUCUUUCGGUGGUGAAGAUGAUGACAUUAACCACAAAAGAAGCCCCGGCUAACUUCGUGCCAGCAGCCGCGGUAAUACGAAGGGGGCUAGCGUUGUUCGGAAUUAUUGGGCGUAAAGAGCGCGUAGGCGGCUCUGUAAGUUAGGCGUGAAAUCCCCGGGCUCAACCCGGGAACUGCGCUUAAUACUGCCGAGCUAGAAUGCAGGAGGGGGUAGCGGAAUUCCCAGUGUAGAGGUGAAAUUCGUAGAUAUUGGGAAGAACACCAGUGGCGAUGCGGCUACCUGGCCUGACAUUGACGCUGAGGCGCGAAAGCGUGGGGAUCGAACAGGAUUAGAUACCCUGGUAGUCCACGCCCUAAACGAUGUGCGCUAGACGUCAGGGGAUACCCUUGGUGUCGCAGCUAUCGCGUUAAGCGCACCGCCUGGGGAGUACGGCCGCAAGGCUAAAACUCAAAGGAAUUGACGGGGGCCCGCACAAGCGGUGGAGCAUGUGGUUUAAUUCGAUUCUACGCGAAAAACCUUACCAGCUCUUGACAUGUUAGCUUGCGUUCUUGGGAGACCAGGAACAUCGGUUCGGCCGGGGCUUUCACAGGUGCUGCAUGGCUGUCGUCAGCUCGUGUCGUGAGAUGUUGGGUUAAGUCCCGCAACGAGCGCAACCCUCGCUUCCAGUUGCCAGCAGGUUUGGCUGGGGACUCUGGAAGGACUGCCGGUUAUAAGCCGGAGGAAGGUGGGGAUGACGUCAAGUCCUCAUGGCCCUUAUGGGCUGGGCUACACACGUGCUACAAUGGCGGUUACAAUGGGUUGCAAUUCCGUGAGGAGGAGCCAAUCCCUAAAAGCCGUCUCAGUUCGGAUUGCACCCUGCAACUCGGGUGCAUGAAGUUGGAAUCGCUAGUAAUCGCGAAUCAGCAUGCCGCGGUGAAUACGUUCCCGGGCCUUGUACACACCGCCCGUCACACCAUGAGAGUUGACUCUACCCGAAGACGGUGGGCCAAUCCUUUCGAGGAAGGUAGCCGGCCACGGUGGGGUUAGCGACUGGGGUGAAGUCGUAACAAGGUA